This 294-nucleotide ribosomal RNA is filed under the name uncultured bacterium. Its description in RNAcentral is "partial 16S ribosomal RNA". It matches the Rfam family "Bacterial small subunit ribosomal RNA", at positions 775 to 1067 of the family's 1533-position model. The record is from RNAcentral.
GGAUUAGAUACCCUGGUAGUCCACGCCCUAAACGAUGUCUACUAGUUGUCGGGUCUUAAUUGACUUGGUAACGCAGCUAACGCGUGAAGUAGACCGCCUGGGGAGUACGGUCGCAAGAUUAAAACUCAAAGGAAUUGACGGGGACCCGCACAAGCGGUGGAUGAUGUGGAUUAAUUCGAUGCAACGCGAAAAACCUUACCUACCCUUGACAUGGAUGGAAUCCCGAAGAGAUUUGGGAGUGCUCGAAAGAGAACCAUCACACAGGUGCUGCAUGGCUGUCGUCAGCUCGUGCCG